GGACCAUCAUGUCGGUCGUGCCUCGGUACGUACUGGCAUUAUUGAUUUCUCCCUUCUGAAGAACCGCGAUGUCAUUAAUUUGGUGUCGUGGAGAAUCAGGACUGUUACUUUGAAAAAAUUAGAGUGUUUAAAGCAAGCUAACGCUUGAAUACAUUAGCAUGGAAUAACGAAAUAGGACGUUUGACCCUAUUUUGUUGGUUUCUAGGAUCGACGUA
RNAcentral lists this ribosomal RNA (215 nucleotides) under Campeiostachys nutans. RNAcentral describes it as "Elymus nutans partial small subunit ribosomal RNA". The stretch from base 38 to 215 matches the Rfam family "Eukaryotic small subunit ribosomal RNA", at positions 685 to 864 of the family's 1831-position model. The record is from RNAcentral. Lineage: Eukaryota; Viridiplantae; Streptophyta; Magnoliopsida; Poales; Poaceae.